AGUGAACGCUGGCGGUAGGCCUAACACAUGCAAGUCGAACGGCAGCACAGUAAGAGCUUGCUCUUACGGGUGGCGAGUGGCGGACGGGUGAGGAAUACAUCGGAAUCUACUUUUUCGUGGGGGAUAACGUAGGGAAGCUUACGCUAAUACCGCAUACGACCUACGGGUGAAAGCAGGGGAUCUUCGGACCUUGCGCGAUUGAAUGAGCCGAUGUCGGAUUAGCUAGUUGGCGGGUAAAGGCCCACCAAGGCGACGAUCCGUAGCUGGUCUGAGAGGAUGAUCAGCCACACUGGAACUGAGACACGGUCCAGACUCCUACGGGAGGCAGCAGUGGGGAAUAUUGGACAAAGGGCGCAAGCCUGAUCCAGCCAUACCGCGUGGGUGAAGAAGGCCUUCGGGUUGUAAAGCCCUUUUGUUGGGAAAGAAAAGCAGCAGGUUAAUACCCCGCUGUUCUGACGGUACCCAAAGAAUAAGCACCGGCUAACUUCGUG
RNAcentral lists this ribosomal RNA (491 nucleotides) under uncultured bacterium. RNAcentral's name for it is "partial 16S ribosomal RNA". It matches the Rfam family "Bacterial small subunit ribosomal RNA", at positions 29 to 507 of the family's 1533-position model. The record is from RNAcentral.